Uranotaenia lowii is the source of this 741-nucleotide long non-coding RNA. RefSeq lists it as uncharacterized. The record is from RefSeq and is a predicted model, not a curated record. The transcript is spliced from 3 exons. NCBI's taxonomy places the organism in Eukaryota, Metazoa, Arthropoda, Insecta, Diptera, Culicidae.
CAAACGAAGUGCUUGAGAAAUUCGAAAUCGCGAUGCGUUCCUGCCGUCCGGUUUCGCGCGUUUUCGUAAAUUUUCCCCAAAAAUUUAGCCGCGAAACAUAAAUUGAAAAACAAAUCAGAUACACACCCAGGAAAUGGCGGCUAAAAAAAAGCGCCCCGCUGGGGGAAAAAUGCAGGCCAGUAACCAAAUGCGUCCGGACGGCCAGCCCCGUUGGCAGUGUUUGAAAUUCCUGCGUCCAGUCCCGUUGGCGUUUCACAACUUCUGCAGGAUACUCCGCACUUGGGGAAAAGGAUCCUUUCAAGGGAACCCCAAUCGGAUCUUUACCACCAUCGCUUUUCUCUCACCGGGAACGUAUGAAUUCAAGGGAAAAAAGCGGAAGAACGGAUAAAAAGCAAACCCGUAUUUAUGGCCUCCAAUAGCCGAUUUCUUAGGGCCCUGGAGCUCAUGGAUAGGGACCGCAACCAUCACCCAAAAUUAUUCGGCUGCCAUUCGAACCGGGCAGAAAAGCUAUUGGAACUGGAUCUAGCUAGCUGCAACCUACAGGAAUCGCCCGAUCCUAGUUCCCCAGCCGUGAGGACCCCCCACUACAGUGUGCUGUGUGCGGCCAGUCAAUUUUUUUUCACAAUUGAUCAUCCUCGUAGGAUGCUCGACAUAUUAUAAGUGUAAUGAAAUACGCAGGCGGUGAUUUGAUGAAUGUGGAUAAAAGCUGACCGGAAAAAGUUAAUUAAAAUAAUAUGCAAA